GACGAACGCUGGCGGCGUGCUUAACACAUGCAAGUCGAACGGAAAGGCCCUGCUUUUGUGGGGUGCUCGAGUGGCGAACGGGUGAGUAACACGUGAGUAACCUGCCCUUGACUUUGGGAUAACUUCAGGAAACUGGGGCUAAUACCGGAUAGGAGCUCCUGCUGCAUGGUGGGGGUUGGAAAGUUUCGGCGGUUGGGGAUGGACUCGCGGCUUAUCAGCUUGUUGGUGGGGUAGUGGAUUACCAAGGCUUUGACGGGUAGCCGGCCUGAGAGGGUGACCGGCCACAUUGGGACUGAGGUACGGCCCAGACUCCUACGGGAGGCAGCAGGGGGGAAUAUUGCACAAUGGGCGGAAGCCUGAGGCAGCGACGCCGCGUGCGGGAUGACGGCCUUCGGGUUGUAAACCGCUGUCGCCUGUGACGAAGCGUGAGUGACGGUAAUGAGUAAAGAAGCACCGGCUAACUACGUG
RNAcentral lists this ribosomal RNA (468 nucleotides) under uncultured bacterium. Its description in RNAcentral is "partial 16S ribosomal RNA". It matches the Rfam family "Bacterial small subunit ribosomal RNA", at positions 28 to 507 of the family's 1533-position model. The record is from RNAcentral.